GACGAACGCUGGCGGCGUGCCUAAUACAUGCAAGUCGAACGAACCGCGACUAAGUGCUUGCACUCAGUCAAGGUGAGUGGCGAACGGGUGAGUAACACGUGGGUAACCUACCUCAUAGUGGGGGAUAACAGUCGGAAACGACUGCUAAUACCGCAUAGGACAUAGGAUCACAUGAUCCAGUGAGGAAAGGUGGCGCAAGCUAUCGCUAAGAGAUGGACCCGCGGUGCAUUAGCUAGUUGGUAGGGUAAAGGCCUACCAAGGCGAUGAUGCAUAGCCGACAUGAGAGGGUGAUCGGCCACAUUGGGACUGAGACACGGCCCAAACUCCUACGGGAGGCAGCAGUAGGGAAUCUUCCGCAAUGGACGCAAGUCUGACGGAGCAACGCCGCGUGAGUGAAGAAGGUCUUCGGAUCGUAAAGCUCUGUUGUUAGAGAAGAACAGCGCAUAGAGUAACUGCUAUGCGUGUGACGGUAUCUAACCAGAAAGCCACGGCUAACUACGUG
RNAcentral lists this ribosomal RNA (502 nucleotides) under uncultured bacterium. RNAcentral's name for it is "partial 16S ribosomal RNA". It matches the Rfam family "Bacterial small subunit ribosomal RNA", at positions 28 to 507 of the family's 1533-position model. The record is from RNAcentral.